Molecule: long non-coding RNA, 401 nt
Organism: Tachyglossus aculeatus (Australian echidna)
Lineage: Eukaryota; Metazoa; Chordata; Mammalia; Monotremata; Tachyglossidae
Exons: 3
Source: RefSeq, a predicted model, not a curated record
AUCCCGCACCGGUCCCAGACGAGUGGCUUGCCGUUCCAGGCCACGGAGGACGCCUUUCCUGGCCUGCCGUCAAGGCCACCGAGCAAAGCAGAGUGGGCCACGAGACCCAGCCCCUGGAAACUUAGGCCCAUCGCAAGAGAAAUCCAGCUGGAGACACUAAACGUUGUCAACAUCCACCCCUCAUACGCCGCCGCCGCCGUCCUCGCAGGCCGCUUCGGAAGGAACUAGUCACGCCGGGCUGCGGGGGUGGUGUCCGCAUCGCCGGGGCCCAUGGAAGCGACCCCUCCGCACUCAAAGCCGCCUCGGAGCGAAAACAGUUAAUGUCCCAUGCAGGGGCCUUUUACUUCUGCACUCCUGAGCCAUCGCUGUGUUUCCUUUUCGCCACGGGACUCCCUGCCCGG